RNAcentral lists this ribosomal RNA (253 nucleotides) under uncultured bacterium. RNAcentral describes it as "partial 16S ribosomal RNA". It matches the Rfam family "Bacterial small subunit ribosomal RNA", at positions 524 to 776 of the family's 1533-position model. The record is from RNAcentral.
UACGAAGGGGGCUAGCGUUGCUCGGAAUCACUGGGCGUAAAGCGCACGUAGGCGGAUCUUUAAGUCAGGGGUGAAAUCCUGGAGCUCAACUCCAGAACUGCCUUUGAUACUGGGGAUCUCGAGUCCGGAAGAGGAGAGUGGAAUUCCUGGUGUAGCGGUGAAAUGCGCAGAUAUCAGGAAGAACACCCGUGGCGAAGGCGGGUCUCUGGGCAGUAACUGACGCUGAGGAGCGAAAGCGUGGGGAGCGAACGGG